UGCCAGCAGCCGCGGUAAUACGGAGGGUGCAAGCGUUAAUCGGAAUUACUGGGCGUAAAGCGCGCGUAGGUGGCCAAGUCAGUCAGAUGUGAGAGCCCUGGGCUCAACCUGGGAACUGCAUCUGAUACUGCUCGGCUAGAGUAUGGUAGAGGGGUGUGGAAUUUCCUGUGUAGCGGUGAAAUGUGUUGAUAUUGGAAGGAACGCCGGUGGCGAAAGCGACACACUGGGGCUGUUCUGACGCUGAGGCACGAAAGCUAGGGGAGCGAACGGGAUUAGAUA
RNAcentral lists this ribosomal RNA (279 nucleotides) under uncultured bacterium. Its description in RNAcentral is "partial 16S ribosomal RNA". It matches the Rfam family "Bacterial small subunit ribosomal RNA", at positions 506 to 784 of the family's 1533-position model. The record is from RNAcentral.